GUUUCAAUUCCUCAUAGGCAGGCUAUCGGCGCGGCCCGAAGGUUGACGAUGAGCUUUUUGAUUUGG
RNAcentral lists this small RNA (66 nucleotides) under Acididesulfobacillus acetoxydans. RNAcentral describes it as "Peptococcaceae bacterium INE non-coding RNA". The record is from RNAcentral. Lineage: Bacteria; Bacillati; Bacillota; Clostridia; Eubacteriales; Peptococcaceae.